Amphiprion ocellaris (clown anemonefish) is the source of this 613-nucleotide long non-coding RNA. Lineage: Eukaryota; Metazoa; Chordata; Actinopteri; Pomacentridae. The record is from Ensembl.
GUGCAACCACCUUGAUUCUACAAGAUGGUGAUGGAAAUUUUUUUAAUCAAGUGUCAGUCUAAAGGAGGCCAACAUUCAUUUUUUUCCUUGCUGCCAAAGCUGUCUGGUGACACAGCAUCACUGCAGCAGGACUUCAACACAGAAGCCGGACUGGAAUAUUUCUUGGAAAGCGGACUGCGCUAGCAAAUCAGACUGCUUCAAAUGCAAAGCAGCAGAUUACCCACCUGUGUGGCUGUUCACGCUCACUGAUCAGACACAACAUUAAAACCACAAACAGACCAAGCAGAUGCCAAAGGCCCCACCCUGCAUCCCACAGGACCCAAAAGAUCUGCUGCCAACGUCUCAAAUCCAGACACCUCUGGAUGUCCCGUGUCCAUGCCCCGACAGGUUGGAGCUGUUUUGAUGGGACAAACCAGACCAAGACGAUAUUCGGCAGGUGGUUUUAAAAUGUUAUGGCUAAUUGGUGUGUGUUUUCCAUUUCCACAAGCUGUCCUCCUCGUGCCCUGAAGGACUACCCAAUAAACACAAACAUAACCUCUCAAGCAGGUGAACCAGCUCGUCUCAAAUGCUUAGACGGAGAGUAAGUUCAGAGUAUUGAAUAAGAUGUCUGGAU